ACGGAAGGCAGCAGUGAGGAAUAUUGGUCAAUGGUCGGAAGACUGAACCAGCCAAGUAGCGUGAAGGAUGACUGCCCUAUGGGUUGUAAACUUCUUUUAUGCGGGAAUAAAAAGGAUUACGUGUAGUCUGUUGCAUGUACCGCAUGAAUAAGGAUCGGCUAAUUCCGUGCCAGCAGCCGCGGUAAUACGGAAGAUCCGAGCGUUAUCCGGAUUUAUUGGGUUUAAAGGGAGCGUAGGCGGGCCUUUAAGUCAGUGGUCAAAGCGUGUGGCUCAACCAUACCACGCCGUUGAUACUGGAGGCCUUGAGUGCACAUAAGGAUGGUGGAAUUCAUGGUGUAGCGGUGAAAUGCUUAGAUAUCUCGAAGAACUCCGAUUGCGAAGGCAGCUUGCUGGGGCGCAACUGACGCUGAGGCUCGAAGGUGCGGGUAUCAAACAGGAUUAGAUACCCUGGUA
RNAcentral lists this ribosomal RNA (453 nucleotides) under uncultured Prevotellaceae bacterium. RNAcentral describes it as "bacterial SSU rRNA". It matches the Rfam family "Bacterial small subunit ribosomal RNA", at positions 341 to 792 of the family's 1533-position model. The record is from RNAcentral. Lineage: Bacteria; Pseudomonadati; Bacteroidota; Bacteroidia; Bacteroidales; Prevotellaceae.